Molecule: long non-coding RNA, 1825 nt
Organism: Bubalus bubalis (water buffalo)
Lineage: Eukaryota; Metazoa; Chordata; Mammalia; Artiodactyla; Bovidae
Exons: 3
Source: RefSeq, a predicted model, not a curated record
GGCGGGGCGGGACGGCGAGGGGCUGCGAGGGGCGCGCCCCCACGGUGCCUGCUCGCGCUCCUGAGACCUUGCAGCGGGCCAGCAGGUGCUGGCCGCCCUACCCGAGUCUAGCGUGCGUCCUGACCCUCCUCCCCGCCAGCACUUGAGGGUGCCCGCUUCUGCCGGGAGAGCCCACGCGGCUUUCACAUCUGGCGGCUGUUUGCAGAGAGUCCCCGGCCCUGCUCCGAGAGUGCAGAUUCAAAGAGGUUGAAGCUUUCAUCCCAGCAAACUUGUUAAGCCUCAGAGUUUGAAAUGAGAUGGGUGUGACUACAGGAGCUUCACAUUCCCACUGGCUGUCCCCAGCUCUCCCAGCGUCCCCAGCCCUGCUCCCCAUCCUGUCUGUUCUCUCUGGGGAAGGAGGGUUUUACAAGGAGACCUGAGAGUAGCCAGCGGUUCUGGACAAAAGACCUUCUUCGCCCUUCGAGGGAGGUGACGGUGUCUGUUGCCACUCUGCAACACUCUCGAUCACUCUUCCCAAGAUCGAGUGAGCAGACAACGAACAUGAGCACCCCUCUGAUGGGGGUGUUUAGCCCAUGGUUGGCUGCCUUUCCCCAUCUCGUCACCUCCCCCCCUCCACCUGUGCUGCAGGUCGGCUGGUCCUGAGAGCAGCAACGUAGGAGGCUGUGGCAGGGGUGUGACUGCAAGAAACUAUGCUCCCGAACUCGCAUAACCUUCACCUCCCCUGGGCUUCUACUCUGCUUGGACUGGCUGGUAACACUGCCUGAACAGACAGAAUGGACACUGUGUGUGGGACCCGGCUUGAACCGGGUCACCUGGUUACCCUGAGCCCACACCACCUGAACGGCCCAGGUUGCCCUGGGUGCCUCUCUAAAUGCAGUGUGAUUGCAGAUGUAGAAGCUUCUUUAUCUUGAUGAGUUUUUCUUUGUCUCGAAAAGUCAGGGUUAGACAAAAUGGACUCUACAUGCUAAAGGACUUUAAAAUGGUCACACACACUGUUUAUGUUAAGAAUUAGGUAAUACAUAUGGGAGGUCUCUGUGAAGUUGUAUGAGAAGAGAGAGGCAGAGAGAUGAAGCGGUCUGGGAGGUUUGGGGUCUUUGUGUGGUUUACGACCUGUGAAGCUGUGCACACCGGGCUCUUCCUGUUUCCAGCAUCUGUAUUGACCCAGCCCAGCUGGCUUUGAAGGUUUGGGAUAGACAGGAGUGGACUCGGUCUGGGGAAGGGCCUCAGCGAGAGAUCAAAGGUCUGGUCUGAGCGGUACCCCUGGCCUCAGUCUCCAGGUGCCAGGGCCACAGGGAGAACCCUCCAUUUCCCAGGAGAAGCACCUCCCAUCAAGCUGCCUCCCGACCCUGCCCCUCCACUCUGGGCAGCGUGUCCCUUUAACACCGAACACUGCCUGCACCCACCUUCCUUGACGAAGAAAGCAGAGCUGGAGAUGUUUACAAACCACUGGGAAAGAAAGACCUGUUGUCAUCCAUGUCUGUUCAUGUCUGGAACGGUAUAUGUGGAGCUGGGAUUAAACCUAUAUAUUCACGUGUUCAGAUAAUGGAAGGCAGGCAUCCUUCUUCAUCAGUUACACUUUGCCUCCUUCCACGUGCAGGGGGCAGGCACAACAGAGCAGGAACAUGAGGGCGACUCUAUCCCUCUGGCCCUGGGACACAGGCGGGAAGACGGCUUUUCCUGGGAACCGUUCUGCCCAGCUCCCCCCACCCCCCCCCCCCCCCCCCCCCAGAGCUCGAGGUUUCCAGAGCUGAGACCAGGACGGGUGCAGGUGAUUCAGCCUGAACCGCCCAAACCAUGCACUGCUCCCGGGACUAACUCUGCUGAA